Molecule: ribosomal RNA, 429 nt
Filed under: Bacteroidota bacterium
Lineage: Bacteria; Pseudomonadati; Bacteroidota
Description: Bacteroidetes bacterium partial 16S ribosomal RNA
Rfam family: Bacterial small subunit ribosomal RNA
Source: RNAcentral
UAGGGAAUCUUCCGCAAUGGACGCAAGUCUGACGGAGCAACGCCGCGUGAGUGAAGAAGGAUUUCGGUUCGUAAAACUCUGUUGUUAGAGAAGAACAGCGCAUAGAGUAACUGUUAUGCGUGUGACGGUAUCUAACCAGAAAGCCACGGCUAACUACGUGCCAGCAGCCGCGGUAAUACGUAGGUGGCAAGCGUUGUCCGGAUUUAUUGGGCGUAAAGCGAGCGCAGGCGGUCAAUUAAGUCUGAUGUGAAAGCCCCCGGCUCAACCGGGGAGGGUCAUUGGAAACUGGUUGACUUGAGUGCAGAAGAGGAGGGUGGAAUUCCAUGUGUAGCGGUGAAUUGCGUAGAUAUAUGGAGGAACACCAGUGGAGAAGGCGACUCUCUGGUCUGUAACUGACGCUGAGGCUCGAAAGCGUGGGUAGCAAACAGG